GUGGGGAAUAUUGGACAAUGGGCGAAAGCCUGAUCCAGCAAUGCCGCGUGAGUGAUGAAGGCCCUAGGGUUGUAAAGCUCUUUUACCCGGGAUGAUAAUGACAGUACCGGGAGAAUAAGCUCCGGCUAACUCCGUGCCAGCAGCCGCGGUAAUACGGAGGGAGCUAGCGUUGUUCGGAAUUACUGGGCGUAAAGCGCGCGUAGGCGAUUUUCCAAGUCAGGGGUGAAAGCCCGGGGCUCAACCCCGGAAUAGCCCUUGAAACUGGAAGACUAGAAUCUUGGAGAGGUCAGUGGAAUUCCGAGUGUAGAGGUGAAAUUCGUAGAUAUUCGGAAGAACACCAGUGGCGAAGGCGACUGACUGGACAAGUAUUGACGCUGAGGUGCGAAAGCGUGGGGAGCAAACAGGAUUAGAUACCCGAGUAGUCC
This 425-nucleotide ribosomal RNA is filed under the name uncultured bacterium. RNAcentral describes it as "partial 16S ribosomal RNA". It matches the Rfam family "Bacterial small subunit ribosomal RNA", at positions 354 to 796 of the family's 1533-position model. The record is from RNAcentral.